UCAAUUUUUUUUCAGCACGGUGCCACAAGAGUUGGAUUUUAAGUAAAAAGAAAGGUAACAGACCUCUUCAAUUGCCAUAUACAUCUUAUAUUCGAUCUUCUGUUGGGUUUUUGAGUUUUGCAGAGAGAUGUAAAUGGAAGCAGCUGCAGCUACUUUUACUGGAUCUUCUAUUGAGAUCUCUAGACCUGCAAAAUCUGUUGCUAGAUUGGGUUUUUUAGCUACCAAUGGACAAGUGUUUGUGUGUUUUCCUGUUAAGGUACUAUCGAUUAGUCUCAUUUUGAUAAUGGGUUAUUGAGUUUAUGCAUGAAUUUUGUGUUUGGUGAUGAUUUACGUAUAAUCUAUAGCCACCCUUCGUGAUUCUUUACAAAUAUGCUCUCUUUCAAUUAGGGCUUCUCUCUCUUAAUUCAAUUUUCACCGUUUCCAGAUAUAUAUAAGUUGGAUUUUACAAUAGAAAUUGCUUCUCUUAAUUUGUCUAUAAAAGAAAAAUAGACCAAUUCUUUCACUCAAAAUGCAUUUAUUCUGUUCAGUAUGAUUUACAUGGCCAAAGUUUGUCAAAUGUGAUUACUCUGUUCAACAUGAUUUACAUCCGUUUUUACAGCAUGUAUUCAUCACCAGGAAUGAUUUCUCAUGUCUAACAUGAACGUUAAAUCACAUGAGAACCUAUCAAAGUUUCAAUUUAAAGACUAGAUGCAGUUUCAAUCUAAGCUGUUCAUCUUCCUCCAGUGUCACACCACGAGCUAUGGUACCUUUAAUCGGCCUUGCUUCUAAUAUACCAUUUCUGUCCAAGCCUAGGAAUCUCUCAAGAGAAGAACAAUAGAUGCACAAAUCAUCAUUUGAAAAAUUAAGCCACGCAGCAUAUGGUGCUGGAAUUUUCUCUCUGAGGAAUCAUCCUCCAAGCCAUCAUUAUCUCAAAGCUUUGCUUCCUUGCCUUCACCGAAAAGCAAAUUAUAUGGCUUCUAAAUCUCAAGUUCAAGAGAGUGAUAUAUGAGCUUGCCCUAGAGGAUGCCAGUGCGUUAAGGCUUUUCCAUUUGAGGCAUCCAUUAAGGUAGUUGAGCUCGCGAGAAAGAUGAAGAAACUAGCUAACGAUGAUCCAAGAAAGAUUAUUCAUUCCAAUAAAGUAGGAUUAGCUCUCACGAUGGUUUCACUAUUCUACUAUAUAUUUCAAACCACUUUAUGAUAGUUUUGGUGUCAAUACAAUUAUUUGGAUGGUUCUAA
Populus nigra (black poplar) is the source of this 1215-nucleotide long non-coding RNA. RefSeq lists it as uncharacterized. NCBI's taxonomy places the organism in Eukaryota, Viridiplantae, Streptophyta, Magnoliopsida, Malpighiales, Salicaceae. The record is from RefSeq and is a predicted model, not a curated record. The transcript has 2 exons.